AGGAAACGGGGCUUUGAGAGCUAUCAGUAGAUAUUUCUUAAACGCGAUAACAGAAAGUACUAUCUUUUAUGUUACUCCCUUGCUCGUUGAAAGUGGUCCCGACACGAUAAGAAGCAACAUGGGCUCUCCUAACCAGACCUGUGACAGUGGUGUACCCAUGGACCUCUUCUUACACUAUUCUCUCGUUCCGUCGGUAAGGGGUCUCUGUGUCCCCAUACAGUACGUUAACAUCCAGGUGACACUUUACUUGACACCUAGCGUCAUAACACGUUAUGAUACAGUCAUAACCAUGUCACAAUAUGUCAUGACAGCUGACAUAACUUGUCAUAACCUGUCAUAAUAUGAUCACCACACUGUCAUGACCCAUAUAUUUACCCCUGUUGUGACAUAUAUUGCGUUACUUUGUGGCUGAUUGUGACACCUACAUAAGAGUGUCAAAACCCACAUUUAUUCAAAUGUGAUUUUUCCCUGCAAAGAAGUUUCCUUUCGUUUGAAAGUUUGCUUCUUAUCCUUUGUUGUGGUAUUGAAUUCCUUUAAAGUGAUGUUUUCACACUUCACGACACUGUUAAGAAGCAUUAUGACCAUCCUGUGUCACUUUACUUGGACUAAGAAAAUACACUUUAUGACACUGUCAAGAAGCAUUAUGACCAGUAUGAUCAGAAUCAUGUAAGCCAGAUAGGUACAUGCCCUUAUGUCAGUCAUCAGUCAAAAAGAGGGUGUCUUGUCCUGCUCCUGAAAUCUGCUCCUGCAUUCAUCCCAGUCAACAGAGCAUUGGGGUUACAGCACUUGGAUCGGGAUGAUUUUCACAGACCACUACCACAACAACCCUGUCAUGGUGUGUUUCUGCCAUCUUCUCCUGGAGAGACAACAGAGGACCACAGAGGCAGAAUCGUACUCCACGUUCCACAACACACCUUCGCCAGAUUCAGCCCGUGGAAGCAGGGCCAGGCGGUGAUGGAUGCUCCUCUACACCCUGAUGAAGAACCCACGACUGAUCCUCCUGAGGAAGAACAGGACCUCCUCCAGUCCCACUCACCAGGACACUGUUGUCCAAGCCUGGCUGCUGGCCUCUCAGACCGAACAGAUGGGACAGGCACCAGAGACGACAGCCACAGCCGUUACAUCAGAUCAGACGACGGCCAAUGGGCAGGCAUUAACUGACUGAUUCUGCUCAUGGCUUAUACAUGCGCAGCCUGAAAUAGUGUAGUACAAUAAUGUGACAUAACAUUUAGUAGGCCUACACACAUUUCGAGGACACCUUUUUGGCUCAUGGGUGCUACAUUUGAUACUACAGGCCAAGCUCUUACAAUGCAUUGUUUUGUAUGUGAUGAAUCAUGGGAAAUGGGGAUAACAACUGAAAUGUGUCUUCUGCAUUUAACCCAACCCCUCUGAAUCAGAGAGGUGCCGGGGGCUGGCUUAAUUGACAUCUACAUCUUUGGCACCCAGAGAACAGUGGGUUAACUGCCUUGCUUAGGGGCAGAACAACAGAUUCUUACCUUGUCAGCUCGGGGAUUCUAUCCAGCAAACUUUUGGUUACUGGGCCAAUGUUCUAACCAUUAGGCUAAUAUGAUUAAUGCAUUAUAAAUUCGGAAAUACCUACAUAAUUACUCCUACUGGGAAAAAUGAUAGGACAAAUUGGACAUAGUUAUGCUUUUUACCUCAUAACGGUCCAUUUGUUUUUACUAGGCCACGUAGCCACAGGAAGUAGAGGUGCUGAGGGUGUUGCAGCACUCUAAAAAAUCUGAAUAAAAAAUAUACAGUACCAGUCAAAAGUUUGGACACACCUACUCCAACCUCGGCCAACAGCUCCGCCCCCCCGGCAGCUCCUCGCCCAAGCCUCUCCAGGUUCUCCUUUACCCAAAUCCAGAUAGCAGAUGUUCUGAAAGAGCUGCAAAACCUGGACCCGUACAAAUCAGCUGGGCUUGACAAUCUGGACCCCCUAUUUCUGAAACUUUGCGCCGCCAUUGUCGCAACCCCUAUUACCAGCCUGUUCAACCUCUCUUUCAAAUCGUCUGAGAUCCCCAAGGAUUGGAAAGCUGCCGCAGUCAUCCCCCUCUUCAAAGGGGGAGACACCCUGGACCCAAACUGUUACAGAUCUA
This is a long non-coding RNA of Oncorhynchus tshawytscha (Chinook salmon), 2099 nucleotides long. Lineage: Eukaryota; Metazoa; Chordata; Actinopteri; Salmoniformes; Salmonidae. The record is from Ensembl.